UACGUAGGGUGCAAGCGUUGUCCGGAAUUAUUGGGCGUAAAGAGCGUGUAGGCGGCCCGGUUAGUCCGCUGUGAAAGUCCAGGGCUCAACCCUGGAAUGCCGGUGGAUACUGUCGGGCUAGAGUCCGGAAGGGGCGAGUGGAAUUCCUGGUGUAGCGGUGAAAUGCGCAGAUAUCAGGAGGAACACCAAUGGCGAAGGCAGCUCGCUGGGACGUGACUGACGCUGAGACGCGAAAGCGUGGGGAGCGAACAGG
RNAcentral lists this ribosomal RNA (253 nucleotides) under uncultured bacterium. Its description in RNAcentral is "partial 16S ribosomal RNA". It matches the Rfam family "Bacterial small subunit ribosomal RNA", at positions 524 to 776 of the family's 1533-position model. The record is from RNAcentral.